GACGAACGCUGGCGGCGUGCUUAACACAUGCAAGUCGAACGGAAAGGCCCUGCUUUUGUGGGGUGCUCGAGUGGCGAACGGGUGAGUAACACGUGAGUAACCUGCCCUUGACUUUGGGAUAACUUCAGGAAACUGGGGCUAAUACCGGAUAGGAGCUCCUGCUGCAUGGUGGGGGUUGGAAAGUUUCGGCGGUUGGGGAUGGACUCGCGGCUUAUCAGCUUGUUGGUGGGGUAGUGGCUUACCAAGGCUUUGACGGGUAGCCGGCCUGAGAAGGUGACCGGCCACAUUGGGACUGAGGUACGGCCCAGACUCCUACGGGAGGCAGCGGUGGGGAAUAUUGCACAAUGGGAGGAAGCCUGAUACAGCAACGCCGCGUGCGGAAUGACGGCCUUCGGGUUGUGAACCGCUUUCGCCUGUGACGAAGCGUGUGUGACGGUAAUGGGUAAAGAAGCACCGGCUAACUACGUG
Molecule: ribosomal RNA, 468 nt
Filed under: uncultured bacterium
Lineage: Bacteria
Description: partial 16S ribosomal RNA
Rfam family: Bacterial small subunit ribosomal RNA
Source: RNAcentral